Molecule: ribosomal RNA, 494 nt
Filed under: uncultured bacterium
Lineage: Bacteria
Description: partial 16S ribosomal RNA
Rfam family: Bacterial small subunit ribosomal RNA
Source: RNAcentral
GACGAACGCUGGCGGCGUGCUUAACACAUGCAAGUCGAACGGUGAAGCGCCUUCCUUUUUGGUGGGUGUGGAUGAGUGGCGAACGGGUGAGUAACACGUGAGUAACCUGCCCCCUUCUUCUGGAUAACCGCAUGAAAGUGUGGCUAAUACGGGAUAUUCUGGGUCUGUCGCAUGAUGGGUCUGGGAAAGAUAUUGUUUCGGUGGGGGAUGGGCUCGCGGCCUAUCAGCUUGUUGGUGGGGUGAUGGCCUACCAAGGCGGUGACGGGUAGCCGGCCUGAGAGGGUGGACGGUCACACUGGGACUGAGACACGGCCCAGACUCCGACGGGAGGCAGCAGUGGGGAAUAUGGCACAAUGGGCGCAAGCCUGAUGCAGCGACGCCGCGUGAGGGAUGGAGGCCUUCGGGUUGUGAACCUCUUUCGCCAGUGAAGCAGGCCUGCCUCGUUUGUGGGUGGGUUGACGGUAGCUGGAUAAGAAGCGCCGGCUAACUACGUG